AUUAUACUCCCUCCGUUGCACAAUACAUGCCUUCUAUUUGUCAAAAUAUAUAUGUAUCUAGACAUGUCUUAGUAUAUAGGUACAUCCAUUUUUGGACAAAUGGAAGUCAAGUAUUUUGGAAUGGAGGGAGUACACA
Molecule: non-coding RNA, 136 nt
Organism: Triticum aestivum (bread wheat)
Lineage: Eukaryota; Viridiplantae; Streptophyta; Magnoliopsida; Poales; Poaceae
Source: Rfam